This 1864-nucleotide long non-coding RNA is filed under the name Canis lupus familiaris (dog). RNAcentral describes it as "lncRNA (ENSCAFG00000056638.1, ENSCAFG00845007476.1)". The record is from RNAcentral. Lineage: Eukaryota; Metazoa; Chordata; Mammalia; Carnivora; Canidae.
UUUUUUUUUUCAUAUUAACUAUAGUACAAAGGACUAAAGUAAGCCCAAACUCACAGAUUCCCAUUUUUCUACCAUUGGUAGGCAUUUGUUUCACUGAAAAGCUCAUUUUGCCUAUUUUAUCCUACAUUUCAUUCAUUUUUGUAUUGAUUUCUGAGUCCCAGUUUUGUGAUGAUAAAUCUCUCAGUAUUCUCAAGGAAACUAUUUAGAGUACAAUAGUUAAGUCUAUGAAGCAUUGUUUUGCUUUUAAUACCACUUUUUUACCUUUCAGAUAUUUGUUUUUAACAAUAGUAAAAAGAGGGGUGCCUGGGUGGCUCAGUCGGAUCAAUGCCCAACUCUUGAUUUCAGCUCAGAUCAUGAUCUCAGGGUUGUGAGAUCGAGCCCUUUGACAGGCUCCACACUGGGCAUGGAGCCUGCUUAAGACUCUCUCUCUGCCCCUGACCCCACCCUCUCUCUGUCUCUGUCUCUCCCUCUCAAAAAACAAACCAAUAGUUAAGAGAAUAGAGAAUGAGCUUUAGAACCAAGUAUAUUUUUAAAAUACUUGAUAUAGGAAAUGGAAAAGGAGUUUUUUAAAAGUCCAGUUCUGAAGAAUGUCUUUCCUCUAAUUGCCACAGAAAAUUGGAGAACUGAUGGUAGCCACAAUACCAACUAGCUCUUAAUCUUGGACCCUGUUGCACCAAUAGAUUUCUGCUUUCAUUUUAUAAUUUCCUUUAAGUUUAUACAUUGCUUAAAGGUAAUGGCCAAGUCUCUUUGUUUAAACAAAAUACAUAUGUUUUAAAGUCCCUAGAAUCUAUAAAUGAAGGUAACUAUGUACAAAGGAGCAAUUUGGAAACAGUAAGAUCCCCACCCCAUUCCAAAGUAUCUAUAUUUCCACUGUUUCACGGAAUGCCACAUGGGCUAAGUUAUUCACACUAAGUGAAAACAUCGAUGUGCAUAAGAGGAGUCACGUUCUGGCACUUCUCAAAUUUUUCUAUGGGGGUUUUACUGAUGAGGGGGUGACUAAAAGGUGAAUACAUACAUUCUGAGGUUGGAGAGGAACUCCCAAAGCAAUCCAUCUCCAACUUGAAAUUUCCUUGAAGCCUUGUCAUAUAGCUUUAAAAUGCAUGCAAAUGGUUCUUACUGCUGCCUGAUGUAUCUGUUUAAUUUGAUAGAAAAACUAAAGGGCUUAUCUGGAUUAAAACUGAUAUAUGACGGUCAUAUGGCUUGGUGUUUCUGACGCUCCCUGGAAGACCUACUGAGGCAUGCUAACCUUUAUUUUUUUUAUUUUUUUAUUUUUUUAUUUUUUGGAUGCUAACCUUUAAACCAUUCAUGAUCAGGAGGCUGACUAGGAGCAUUGGCUAUUUGAAUUGAUUCCUCUUUUUUUAAAUGGAAAGUGUGGGUGGAGAUAGAGAUUCAGUAACAAGGAAGAGGCUAGCAGUGAGGAAUAAGUGCCUCAACUCUGGGGAAAUGCCGUAGUGAGUCUGGGAAGAAAAAGAUGCCACAAAAAGACGGAAGUGGCUAGAAUAAAAGCACAAAGGGAAACCAAGUCAAAUUUACUUCGCAAUUUGCCUAGGGCUAAAGAAAGAUGCUUCAUAGAAAAUGAAGUGACUGGACUUGAUUUUGAAAGAAAAGAUGCUUUUGAAAUCCAGUGGAAAAAGGCAAACAACUAAAAGUGUUCUAGCAAUUAAGGAGAGAGAACUUGGGAUCCCUGAGUGGUCAGCGGUUUAGCACCUGCCUUUGGCCCAGGGCGUGAUCCUGGAGACCCAGGAUCGAGUCCCACGUCAGGCUCCCUGUAUGGAGCCUGCCUCUCCCUCUCUCUCUCUCUCUCUCUCUCUCUGCGUCUCUCAUGAAUAAAUGAAUAAAAUCUUUAAAAAAAAAAAAAGGAGAA